This 228-nucleotide ribosomal RNA is filed under the name Triticum aestivum (bread wheat). RNAcentral's name for it is "partial small subunit ribosomal RNA". Lineage: Eukaryota; Viridiplantae; Streptophyta; Magnoliopsida; Poales; Poaceae. The record is from RNAcentral.
AUGGACCAUUCCAUCCCUUAUUCCCUUGCCUAUGCAUCGGAUUCGGAUGACGAAGGUCCCGAUGAACAAGUUGAUGAGGAGGGGUUCACGACGAAGGAGGCCGAAGGUUUCGAGAAGAUAUUCGGUCGGGAUCAUCGGACUGCAUUGUUCAAGGAUGUUAGUCUCGCGGAUGAAGCCAUGGUAGAUGGUGGCCAAGGCAUAUCUCUUGGGGUUAGGCCAAGCUCUCAC